CUAAAAAUCUAGCCGCACCUCAUCUUAUGAAAUUCUUUAACCUCUACUACUAAACUAAAAUAUUUUAAUGUUAAAGUAAAGACGAUUGAAAAAUCAACUCGAGCAAUAUAUAUAUGUACCGCAAGGGAAAAAUGAAAUAAAAAUGAAAUAAAUUU
RNAcentral lists this ribosomal RNA (155 nucleotides) under Phrynopus sp. SBH-2008. Its description in RNAcentral is "partial 16S ribosomal RNA". The record is from RNAcentral. Lineage: Eukaryota; Metazoa; Chordata; Amphibia; Anura; Strabomantidae.